UACGUAGGGGGCAAGCGUUGUCCGGAAUCAUUGGGCGUAAAGCGCGUGUAGGCGGUUCGGUAAGUCGGCUGUGAAAGUCCAGGGCUCAACCCUGGGAUGCCGGUCGAUACUGCCGGACUAGAGUUCGGAAGAGGCGAGUGGAAUUCCCGGUUUAGCGGUGAAAUGCGCAGAUAUCGGGAGGAACACCAAUGGCGAAGGCAGCUCGCUGGGACGUUAUUGACGCUGAGACGCGAAAGCGUGGGGAGCAAACAGG
This 253-nucleotide ribosomal RNA is filed under the name uncultured bacterium. RNAcentral's name for it is "partial 16S ribosomal RNA". It matches the Rfam family "Bacterial small subunit ribosomal RNA", at positions 524 to 776 of the family's 1533-position model. The record is from RNAcentral.